CCUACGGGAGGCAGCAGUGGGGAAUAUUGGGCAAUGGGCGCAAGCCUGACCCAGCAACGCCGCGUGAAGGAAGAAGGCUUUCGGGUUGUAAACUUCUUUUCUCAGGGACGCAGCAAGUGACGGUACCUGCGGAAUAAGCCACGGCUAACUACGUGCCAGCAGCCGCGGUAAUACGUAGGUGGCAAGCGUUAUCCGGAUUUACUGGGUGUAAAGGGCGUGUAGGGGGGAAAGCAAGUCAGGUGUGAAAACCAUGGGCUCAACCUGUGGCCUGCAUUUGAAACUGUUUUUCUUGAGUAGUGGAGAGGCAGACGGAAUUCGUAGUGUAGCGGUGAAAUGCGUAGAUAUUAGGAGGAACACCAGUGGCGAAGGCGGUCUGCUGGACAGCAACUGACGCUGAGGCGCGAAAGCGUGGGGAGCAAACAGGAUUAGAUACCCGGGUAGUC
RNAcentral lists this ribosomal RNA (443 nucleotides) under uncultured bacterium. RNAcentral describes it as "partial 16S ribosomal RNA". It matches the Rfam family "Bacterial small subunit ribosomal RNA", at positions 338 to 795 of the family's 1533-position model. The record is from RNAcentral.